Long non-coding RNA from Phoenix dactylifera (date palm), 1034 nucleotides. RefSeq lists it as uncharacterized. NCBI's taxonomy places the organism in Eukaryota, Viridiplantae, Streptophyta, Magnoliopsida, Arecales, Arecaceae. The record is from RefSeq and is a predicted model, not a curated record.
UCUUCUUCUUGUUCAUUCUUCUUCUUCUUCUUUCUUUGCAGGCUCUGCUCCUCUCUAAACUCCCACUAUUUCCCAUGCCUCAUCUCCAUUUUCUUAUGGAAGCGAGGUUCUUGAAACCUCCAAAUCUUCCAUCAACAAAGACCCUGCUUUGGAUCCCUCACAUCAGCCUUGGACGUGAAGAAACCUCUCGCCAGCCCUCGCUUCACCGGCGCGGCCAGGAGGCUUUGUGUGGCGAAACUAUUCGCAUGAAUGGAAUUUUAUCGUUGAACUCCUGCAGCGUUCGGUGCGGAGGAAGUAAUGGAUUCUUGUCAACUUUUUGUGCACCCCUUAGUUUCUUCAGAAUCUUGCUCGCAAUCGAAUUUUUGAGUGCUGGCAGAUGAAGGUUCGGUGAUCAUCCGACGGCAGGCGGCGGGGAGAGCUGCAGCAAGCAUGGAUGUGGCCAAGGGACGUCCGAAGAAACGAGGCAUGAGCAAAGGAUGGGAUGCCCAGAACCUGCGAAAGCUGCAGUGAGAACCCUGGAAGCAGGCUUAAUCAUGACGACGACUAAUGCGGUAGAAGAUUCAAAGGAUUGGUCAGAGUGAAAGCCCAAUCAGGUAUCUGACCGAAGUGGUCAUGUAAUUCCCAUGCAUUAUUUCCGGCAAGUCCUGCUUGUAACUGCAAUCUAUCAACCAAGCUCGGACCUUCCACCAGCCAGCGAGGUCAGCCAAUGCCGGAGCUCAGUUUUUGUAGAUCAUCCAUGGAUCAAGCUUCACUGUGAUUUGGAUGUCAUGAGUUCGGAACACAAAAACAAACCCUUCCUUAUACGGGAAGAAGACUGCAUACAUUUGAUCCUCCACAGACAAUUAACGCAAUAGCGGCACUAGUGCAACUUUUUUUUUAUAUUGAUAUUGUCAAUUAGAAUAUUUAAUGAGGGUGGAGCAAAUGAGUCUUCUUGUAAAAGUUACAUAUAAUCCAGCUGCUGGACUAAUUUGUAUUGCACAAAAGCUGUUCUUUUUAUAUUUGACGUAAUCCAAGUGUUUAUGUGGCAUUUUGCA